Molecule: ribosomal RNA, 1069 nt
Filed under: Entomophthora muscae
Lineage: Eukaryota; Fungi; Entomophthoromycota; Entomophthoromycetes; Entomophthorales; Entomophthoraceae
Description: SSU rRNA
Rfam family: Eukaryotic small subunit ribosomal RNA
Source: RNAcentral
ACCUUAACAGUGAAACUGCGAAUGGCUCAUUAAAUCAGUUAUAAUUUAUUUGAUCUUUCCUUACCAGUGGAUAUCCGUGGUAAUUCUAGAGCUAAUACAUAUACGCGAAGACCCAACUUCUGGAAGGGUUGUAUUUAUUAGAUAAAAAACCAAUGUGGGCAACCACUUUUUUGGUGAUUCAUAGUAACUUUACUGAUCGCAAUUUAUUGCGACAUAUCAUAAAAAUUUCUGCCCUAUCAACUUUCGAUGGUAAGGUAGUGGCUUACCAUGGUUUUUACGGGUGACGGGGAAUAAGGGUUCGAUUCCGGAGAGGGAGCCUGAGAAACGGCUACCACAUCCAAGGAAGGCAGCAGGCGCGCAAAUUACCCAAUCCUGAUACAGGGAGGUAGUGACAAUAAAUAACGAUCUAGGGCCUUUAAGGUCAUAGAAUUGGAAUGAGUACAAAUUAAAACUAUUAACGAGGAACAAUUGGAGGGCAAGUCUGGUGCCAGCAGCCGCGGUAAUUCCAGCUCCAAUAGCGUAUAUUAAAGUUGUUGCAGUUAAAACGCCCGUAGUCGAACUUUUAGAACAUUGGAGGGUUAGUUUCAGUUCUUGGCAUUUAUGUUAGGUUCAGUGCUGGCUUUUCAGGUUCUAUUACUUUAUAUCUCUGGCCUUUGGGCAUUGGUGCUGCCUUUACUGGUAGUGUCUUUGUCAUUUCUCUUCGGAGAGGGCUAGGGAUGAUUACUUUGAAAAAAUUAGAGUGUUCAAAGCAGGCUUUAUGCCUGAAUACAUUAGCAUGGAAUAAUAAAAUAGGACUUUGGUUUUAUUUUGUUGGUUUCUAAAACUGAAGGAAUGAUGAAUAGGGUUGGUUGGGGUCAUUAGUAUUUUAUUGCUAGAGGUGAAAUUCUUGGAUUUGUGAAAGACUAACUUCUGCGAAAGCAUUUGACAAGGACAAUCUCAUUGAUCAAGGACGAAAGUUGGGGGAUCGAAGAUGAUUAGAUACCGUCGUAGUCUCAACCAUAAACUAUGCCAACUAGGGAUCAGUAUUCCAUUUAUGAGAAUAUUGGCACCUUGUGAGAAAUCAAAGUUU